Molecule: ribosomal RNA, 301 nt
Filed under: uncultured bacterium
Lineage: Bacteria
Description: partial 16S ribosomal RNA
Rfam family: Bacterial small subunit ribosomal RNA
Source: RNAcentral
CAGUCGCCGCGGGAAUACGUAGGGUGCAAGCGUUAAUCGGAAUUACUGGGCGUAAAGCGUGCGCAGGCGGUUUGUUAAGACAGAUGUGAAAUCCCCGGGCUCAACCUGGGAACUGCAUUUGUGACUGGCAGGCUAGAGUAUGGCAGAGGGGGGUGGAAUUCCGCGUGUAGCAGUGAAAUGCGUAGAUAUGCGGAGGAACACCGAUGGCGAAGGCAGCCCCCUGGGCCAAUACUGACGCUCACGCACGAAAGCGUGGGGAGCAAACAGGAUUAGAUACCCCAGUAGUACCUGUCUCUUAUAA